AUACGGAGGGUGCGAGCGUUACUCGGAGUCACUGGGCGUAAAGCGUCCGUAGGCGGUCGGGUAAGUCGGGUGUGAAAGCCCCGGGCUCAACCUGGGAAGUGCACCCGAUACUGCUCGACUCGAGUGCGGGAGAGGAUGGCGGAAUUCCCGGUGUAGCGGUGAAAUGCGUAGAGAUCGGGAGGAACACCAGUGGCGAAGGCGGCCAUCUGGCCCGCAACUGACGCUGAGGGACGAAAGCGUGGGGGGCAAACAGGAUUAGAAACCCUUGUAGUCC
This 274-nucleotide ribosomal RNA is filed under the name uncultured bacterium. Its description in RNAcentral is "partial 16S ribosomal RNA". It matches the Rfam family "Bacterial small subunit ribosomal RNA", at positions 523 to 796 of the family's 1533-position model. The record is from RNAcentral.